UAAUACGUAGGGGGCUAGCGUUGUCCGGAAUCAUUGGGCGUAAAGCGCGCGUAGGCGGCCCGGUAAGUCCGCUCUGAAAGUCCAGGGCUCAACCCUGGAAAGCGGGUGGAUACUGCCGGGCUAGAAUCCGGAAGAGGCGAGUGGAAUUCCUGGUGUAGCGGUGGAAUGCGCAGAUAUCAGGAGGAACACCAAUAGCGAAGGCAGCUCGCUGGGACGGUAUUGACGCUGAGGCGCGAAAGCGUGGGGAGCAAACAGGAUUAGAUACCCUGGUAGUCCACGCCGUAAACGAUGGGCACUAGGUGUGGGAGGUGUCGACUCCUCCCGUGCCGACGCUAACGCAUUAAGUGCCCCGCCUGGGGAGUACGGCCGCAAGGCUA
Molecule: ribosomal RNA, 377 nt
Filed under: uncultured bacterium
Lineage: Bacteria
Description: bacterial SSU rRNA
Rfam family: Bacterial small subunit ribosomal RNA
Source: RNAcentral